Molecule: non-coding RNA, 21 nt
Filed under: Arabidopsis thaliana (thale cress)
Lineage: Eukaryota; Viridiplantae; Streptophyta; Magnoliopsida; Brassicales; Brassicaceae
Source: RNAcentral
UUUAUUUUGGAUGCCUCAUAA